GGUCAAGCGAAUAAGCGCACACGGUGGAUGCCUUGGCGGUCAGAGGCGAUGAAGGACGUGGCAGCCUGCGAAAAGUAUCGGGGAGCUGGCAACAAGCUUUGAUCCGGUAAUGUCCGAAUGGGGAAACCCACCCGCUUGCGGGUAUCCUGCAGUGAAUACAUAGCUGCUGGAAGCGAACCUGGUGAACUGAAAUAUCUAAGUAACCAGAGGAAAAGAAAUCAACCGAGAUUCCGUAAGUAGCGACGAGCGAACGCGGACUAGCCCUUAAGCUGGAUUGGUUCUAGGAAAACGCUCUGGAAAGAGCGGCCAUAGAAGGUGAUAGCCCUGUAUCUGAAAGGGCCAUUCCAGUGAAGACGAGUAGGGCGGGGCACGUGAAACCCUGUCUGAACAUGGGGGGACCAUCCUCCAAGGCUAAAUACUACUGACCGACCGAUAGUGAACCAGUACCGUGAGGGAAAGGCGAAAAGAACCCCGGAGAGGGGAGUGAAAUAGAACCUGAAACCGUGUGCGUACAAGCAGUAGGAGCUCCGCAAGGAGUGACUGCGUACCUUUUGUAUAAUGGGUCAGCGACUUACUGUUCGUGGCAAGCUUAACCGUAUAGGGGAGGCGAAGGGAAACCGAGUCUGAUAAGGGCGCAUAGUCGCGGGCAGUAGACCCGAAACCGGGUGAUCUAGUCAUGCCCAGGGUGAAGGUGCGGUAACACGCACUGGAGGCCCGAACCCACUCCCGUUGCAAAGGUAGGGGAUGAGGUGUGAUUAGGAGUGAAAAGCUAAUCGAACCCGGAGAUAGCUGGUUCUCCUCGAAAGCUAUUUAGGUAGCGCCUCAUAUGUAUCCUCUCGGGGGUAGAGCACUGUUAUGGCUAGGGGGUCAUCGCGACUUACCAAACCAUUGCAAACUCCGAAUACCGAGACGGACUGUAUGGGAGACACACGGCGGGUGCUAACGUCCGUCGUGAAAAGGGAAACAACCCAGACCCACAGCUAAGGUCCCAAAUUUUGUGCUAAGUGGAAAACCAUGUGGAAAGGCACAGACAGCCAGGAGGUUGGCUUAGAAGCAGCCACCCUUUAAAGAAAGCGUAAUAGCUCACUGGUCGAGUCGGUCUGCGGGGAAGAUUUAACGGGGCUAAGCACAGAACCGAAGCUUGGGGUGCAUAACUUUGUUAUGCGCGGUAGAGGAGCGUUCCGUAAGCCGUUGAAGGUGGAUUGAGAAGUCUGCUGGAGGUAUCGGAAGUGCGAAUGCUGACAUGAGUAACGAUAAUGCGGGUGAAAAACCCGCACGCCGAAAGCCCAAGGUUUCCUUGCGCAACGUUAAUCGGCGCAGGGUGAGUCGGCCCCUAAGGCGAGGACGAAAGUCGUAGUCGAUGGGAAGCAGGUUAAUAUUCCUGCACCUCGCGUAAGUGCGAUGGAGGGACGGAGAAGGUUAGGUGUACCAGGCGUUGGUUGUCCUGGGGAAAGGCGGUAGGUUUGGAUCUUUGGCAAAUCCGGGAUCCUCUAAGACCGAGCACCGAGACAAGCCUUUAUGGCGAAGUCACUGAUACCACGCUUCCAGGAAAAGCUCCUAAGCUUCAGCUUACGCAGACCGUACCGUAAACCGACACAGGUGGGUAGGAUGAGAAUUCUCAGGCGCUUGAGAGAACUCGGGUGAAGGAACUAGGCAACAUGGCACCGUAACUUCGGGAGAAGGUGCACCCUUUUUGGUGGCUCGUGCGAGCUAUAGCUGAAGAGGGUCGCAGUAACCAGGCCGCUGCGACUGUUUAUCAAAAACACAGCACUCUGCAAACACGAAAGUGGACGUAUAGGGUGUGACGCCUGCCCGGUGCUGGAAGGUUAAUUGAUGGGGUCAGCCGCAAGGCGAAGCUCUUGAUCGAAGCCCCAGUAAACGGCGGCCGUAACUAUAACGGUCCUAAGGUAGCGAAAUUCCUUGUCGGGUAAGUUCCGACCUGCACGAAUGGCGUAACGACAGCGGCGCUGUCUCCACCCGAGACUCAGUGAAAUUGAAAUCGCUGUGAAGAUGCAGCGUUCCCGUGGCAAGACGGAAAGACCCCGUGAACCUUUACUAUAGCUUUACACUGAACGUUGAGUUCGUCUGUGUAGGAUAGGUGGGAGGCUAUGAAACCAUGGCGCUAGCUGUGGUGGAGCCAUCCUUGAAAUACCACCCUGUCGUGCUUGACGUUCUAACCUGGGCCCAUUAUCUGGGUCGGGGACCGUGUAUGGUGGGUAGUUUGACUGGGGCGGUCUCCUCCUAAAGAGUAACGGAGGAGCUCGAAGGUACGCUCAGCGCGGUCGGACAUCGCGCACUGUGUGCAAAGGCAUAAGCGUGCUUGACUGCAAGAUCGACGGAUCAAGCAGGUAGGAAACUAGGACUUAGUGAUCCGGUGGUUCUGUAUGGAAGGGCCAUCGCUCAACGGAUAAAAGGUACUCCGGGGAUAACAGGCUGAUACCGCCCAAGAGUUCAUAUCGACGGCGGUGUUUGGCACCUCGAUGUCGGCUCAUCACAUCCUGGGGCUGUAGUCGGUCCCAAGGGUAUGGCUGUUCGCCAUUUAAAGUGGUACGCGAGCUGGGUUCAGAACGUCGUGAGACAGUUCGGUCCCUAUCUGCCAUGGGCGUUGGAGAUUUGAGAGGGGCUGCUCCUAGUACGAGAGGACCGGAGUGGACGAACCUCUGGUGUUCCGGUUGUCACGCCAGUGGCAUUGCCGGGUAGCUAUGUUCGGAAGCGAUAACCGCUGAAAGCAUCUAAGCGGGAAGCGCGCCUCAAGAUGAGAUCUCCCGGGGCACAAGCCCGCUGAAGGAACCAUGUAGACUACGUGGUUGAUAGGUCAGGUGUGUAAGUACAGCAAUGUAUUGAGCUAACUGAUACUAAUGAUCCGUGCGGCUUGACCAU
Molecule: ribosomal RNA, 2880 nt
Filed under: Stenotrophomonas maltophilia
Lineage: Bacteria; Pseudomonadati; Pseudomonadota; Gammaproteobacteria; Lysobacterales; Lysobacteraceae
Description: 23S ribosomal RNA
Rfam family: Bacterial large subunit ribosomal RNA
Source: RNAcentral